RNAcentral lists this ribosomal RNA (468 nucleotides) under uncultured bacterium. RNAcentral describes it as "partial 16S ribosomal RNA". It matches the Rfam family "Bacterial small subunit ribosomal RNA", at positions 28 to 507 of the family's 1533-position model. The record is from RNAcentral.
GACGAACGCUGGCGGCGUGCUUAACACAUGCAAGUCGAACGGAAAGGCCCUGCGUUUGUGGGGUGCUCGAGUGGCGAACGGGUGAGUAACACGUGAGUAACCUGCCCUUGACUUUGGGAUAACUUCAGGAAACUGGGGCUAAUACCGGAUAGGAUCUCCUGCUGCAUGGUGGGGGUUGGAAAGUUUCGGCGGUUGGGGAUGGACUCGCGGCUUAUCAGCUUGUUGGUGGGGGAGUGGCUUACCAAGGCUUUGACGGGUAGCCGGCCUGAGAGGGUGACCGGCCACAUUGGGACUGAGAGACGGACCAGACUCCUACGGGAGGCAGCAGUGGGGAAUAUUGCACAAUGGGCGGAAGCCUGAUGCAGCAACGCCGCGUGCGGGAUGACGGCCUUCGGGUUGUAAACCGCUUUCGCCUGUGACGAGGCGUGAGUGACGGUAAUGGGUAAAGAAGCACCGGCUAACUACGUG